AACGAACGCUGGCGGCAUGCCUAACACAUGCAAGUCAAACGAGACCUUCGGGUCUAGUGGCGCACGGGUGCGUAACACGUGGGAAUCUGCCCUUUGCUUCGGAAUAACAGUUAGAAAUGACUGCUAAUACCGGAUGAUGUCGAAAGACCAAAGAUUUAUCGGCAAAGGAUGAGCCCGCGUAGGAUUAGGUAGUUGGUGGGGUAAAGGCCUACCAAGCCGACGAUCCUUAGCUGGUCUGAGAGGAUGAUCAGCCACACUGGGACUGAGACACGGCCCAGACUCCUACGGGAGGCAGCAGUGGGGAAUAUUGGACAAUGGGCGAAAGCCUGAUCCAGCAAUGCCGCGUGAGUGAUGAAGGCCUUAGGGUUGUAAAGCUCUUUUACCAGGGAUGAUAAUGACAGUACCUGGAGAAUAAGCUCCGGCUAACUCCGUG
Molecule: ribosomal RNA, 433 nt
Filed under: uncultured bacterium
Lineage: Bacteria
Description: partial 16S ribosomal RNA
Rfam family: Bacterial small subunit ribosomal RNA
Source: RNAcentral